GAAAUGCGAUAAGUAGUGUGAAUUGCAGAAUUCAGUGAAUCAUCGAAUCUUUGAAUGCACAUUGCGCUUCCUGGAAUCCCGGGGAGCAUGCCCAUUUCAGAAUCAAUUAAAUCAUCUCCAGCUUCGACGUGUUGGCCGCAACCUUGAACAGGAGGAGUGUGGACCCUUUGCAAUCAUUGCAAUGGUCUGUAAUUCAUUGUAUGCACUGCAAUCACCGCAUUGGUUGGCAAUCGAUCAGCAACAGAUUUUUCUAUUUCUGCGUGGUUGACAAUCGAUGUUGGUUCCAGGGCAUUCAUCUACAUACCCAUACGGAACUCAUGGCUCUGCCAUGGAUUCUGAGAACUUGGUCUGAAAUUGGCAAGAAAACCCGCUGAACUUAA
This 380-nucleotide unclassified non-coding RNA is filed under the name uncultured fungus. Its description in RNAcentral is "sequence contains ITS1". The stretch from base 1 to 105 matches the Rfam family "5.8S ribosomal RNA", at positions 50 to 154 of the family's 154-position model. The record is from RNAcentral. Lineage: Eukaryota; Fungi.